AGUGAACGCUGGCGGUAGGCCUAACACAUGCAAGUCGAACGGCAGCACGGUAAGAGCUUGCUCUUACGGGUGGCGAGUGGCGGACGGGUGAGGAAUACAUCGGAAUCUACUUUUUCGUGGGGGAUAACGUAGGGAAACUUACGCUAAUACCGCAUACGACCUACGGGUGAAAGCAGGGGAUCUUCGGACCUUGCGCGAUUGAAUGAGCCGAUGUCGGAUUAGCUAGUUGGCGGGGUAAAGGCCCACCAAGGCGACGAUCCGUAGCUGGUCUGAGAGGACGAUCAGCCACACUGGAACUGAGACACGGUCCAGACUCCUACGGGAGGCAGCAGUGGGGAAUAUUGGACAAUGGGCGCAAGCCUGAUCCAGCCAUACCGCGUGGGUGAAGAAGGCCUUCGGGUUGUAAAGCCCUUUUGUUGGGAAAGAAAAGCAGCAGGUUAAUACCCCGCUGUUCUGACGGUACCCAAAGAAUAAGCACCGGCUAACUUCGUG
This 492-nucleotide ribosomal RNA is filed under the name uncultured bacterium. Its description in RNAcentral is "partial 16S ribosomal RNA". It matches the Rfam family "Bacterial small subunit ribosomal RNA", at positions 29 to 507 of the family's 1533-position model. The record is from RNAcentral.